AAAUGAUGAGAUCACCCAAAAUAGCUGGAAUUACCGGCAGAUUGUAUGGUGGUGAAUGUAAUGGUUUUCUGAAG
Vulpes vulpes (red fox) is the source of this 74-nucleotide small nucleolar RNA. Lineage: Eukaryota; Metazoa; Chordata; Mammalia; Carnivora; Canidae. The record is from Ensembl.